Long non-coding RNA from Macrobrachium nipponense, 802 nucleotides. RefSeq lists it as uncharacterized. The transcript has 2 exons. NCBI's taxonomy places the organism in Eukaryota, Metazoa, Arthropoda, Malacostraca, Decapoda, Palaemonidae. The record is from RefSeq and is a predicted model, not a curated record.
AGCCAUUACAAAGUUUCCAGCGAUCGAGACCACUCGUCCAGGGGAGCUGUUCUGUGCAACUAACUUAUCGUGAACACCGAAGUCCUCUCAGCUAUGAAUCUGCUCGGUCUGAUCAUCGUCAUCGUAGCGGCCAUCAUCGGAAUCACCCAGGGCCUGCCUGAGCCAGCCGUCAUCAUGGACGGUAGACCAAACAUGAUCCCCGACGCUUACGUGCAGCCCCCAAGGUUCCACUACCGCGGUUUCCAGAGGCCCUACCCAAAAUACGACUGGUCAUAAAUUGAUGUUUUUCUGUCAGAUAGGAUGGGAUAGGAUGGCUGCUCGAGACGGUGCAAAAAGAUGGAUAGGAGAGGAACCAUUUGCACCACCAUCUUUUCGUAGUAUUGGUGAUUCAUUUCUAAAUUACCUUCUGAUAAAGCUCACCGGGAGACUAUGUAAUCAAAACCGUUUUGUGUGAGCCCAGAUGAUCAGAGACGGCCACUAGAUGACGAUUUAAAAAGAAAGAAGGAAAAAAUAUAUUUACAAGGUUCAUUAUGUAUAUGAAUUACGCUUCUUGAAUUUAUGCUGAUAUUGUCAUGGUAAAAAUCUUGAUUUGUAAACUCAUCCUAUUUUGUAAAGUUGCUAAUUUCAGGAACCGAAGCCAACCAAGACGUACCUGAAUUUCAGCGCUUUAUAACCCUGACAGUAAUAUCUGCACAGAAGAUUAUGCCACAGCCUGUCAGAUUUCGUAUACAAAGUGUCUCGAGAAUGUCUCGUUCCAUAUCAAAUCAAGGAAUAUAUCAAUAAAAUAAUUUAAGAAAUGAAA